CGAUUCCCAACGCAAACUUCGGGUCUUGCGAUAACAGACUAACAGUAAUACAGUUGUUUCCACUCCAUGCUUACGUCGGCCACCGCAUACGUUCCACCCGCCUCUUCGUAUUAUGUCCUCCGCGACCAGAUUCCGCCGCCUCAGCGCGGCUGUCGCUAUUGUCACCGCCACUGCGGCCGCGACCGGAGGAGCCAUCCUAUUCUCCCCCAAAAUAGCCACCAACGACCGCGGCGGCGGGCCUGCCUUCGACUCUGUUGGGCAGAAAAUUGCUGAUCCUAGAGCUGUCAUUCCGUCUCGAGCAGCUCAGGAGUCAGUUUUGACUGGUGCAAGCGCCUCCAAUCCCCUUGAUGUUCUCGUAAUCGGCGGUGGCGCCACUGGCUGUGGAGUGGCGCUCGAUGCUGUCACCAGAGGACUUCGCGUUGGUCUCGUUGAGAGAGAGGACUUCUCUUCUGGUACCUCUUCCAGGUCCACGAAGCUAAUUCAUGGAGGAGUUCGCUACUUGGAGAAAGCAGUCUUUUAUCUUGACUAUGGUCAAUUGAAGCUAGUUUUCCAUGCACUUGAGGAGAGGAAACAGGUUAUUGACCAUGCACCACACCUGUGCCAUGCUUUGCCUUGCAUGACACCCUGUUUUGACUGGUUUGAGGUAGUAUACUAUUGGAUGGGCUUGAAAUUGUACGAUUUGGUCGCAGGACCACGCUUGUUACACUUGUCCAGAUAUUAUUCUGCACAAGAGUCCCUUGAAUUGUUUCCAACUCUUGCAAAAAAGGGUAAAGAUAGAAGCUUGAGAGGCACAGUUGUGUAUUAUGAUGGGCAGAUGAAUGACUCAAGGGUUAAUGUUGCUUUAGCAUGUACUGCUGCAUUAGCUGGUGCAGCAGUGGUCAACCAUGCAGAAGUGGUAUCUUUUAUUAAAGAUGAGGCUAACGAGCGGAUAAUUGGUGCACGGAUUCGGGACAAUCUAUCAGGCAAAGAGUUUGAUGCCUAUGCAAAAGUUGUGGUAAAUGCGGCUGGCCCAUUUUGUGACUCUGUAAGAAAAAUGGCUAAGAAUGAUGCACUACCUAUGAUAUGUCCUAGCAGUGGUGUACAUAUUGUUCUCCCUGAUUAUUAUUCUCCAGAGGGAAUGGGCUUGAUUGUUCCUAAAACAAAGGAUGGGCGCGUUGUUUUCAUGCUGCCAUGGUUGGGAAGAACAGUCGCUGGAACUACAGAUUCUAACACUGACAUCACUUUACUUCCAGAACCACACGAAGAUGAGAUUCAGUUUAUACUUGACGCUAUCUCAGAUUACCUUAGUGUUAAGGUACGCCGCAUUGAUGUUCUUUCAGCCUGGAGUGGUAUUCGCCCAUUAGCUAUUGAUCCAUCAGCAAAGAGCACUGAGAGCAUCUCCAGAGAUCAUGUUGUAUGUGAAGAUUAUCCUGGUUUGGUCACAAUCACUGGCGGAAAAUGGACUACUUACAGAAGCAUGGCAGAAGAUGCUGUUGAUGCAGCUAUAAAGUCUGGAAAACUAAGUCCAACAAAUGGAUGUUUAACUCAAAACCUCAGGCUGAUUGGUGGGGAUGGAUGGGAGCCUUCAUCAUUCACUGUUCUUGCUCAACAAUAUGUACGCAUGAAGAGGACAUCUGGCGGUAAAGUUGUCCCUGGAGUAAUGGACACAACUUCUGCUAAGCAUUUAUCACAUGCAUAUGGUACAUUGGCAGAACGAGUGGCUGCUAUAGCUCAGAAUGAAGGUCUAGGGAAGCGGCUUGCCCAUGGCUACCCUUUUCUAGAAGCAGAGGUUGCCUACUGUGCCCGAAAUGAAUACUGUGAAUCUGCUGUUGAUUUCAUUGCAAGGAGAUCACGGCUUGCUUUCCUGGAUACUGAUGCAGCGGGCCGGGCAUUGCCACGUGUCAUUGAGAUAUUGGCUAAUGAACACAACUGGGAUAAGGCAAGACAAAAGCAAGAGUUAGAGAAUGCCAAAAAGUUUUUGGAAACUUUCAAGUCUUCGAAAAAUGCUCAGUUCCAUGACAGGAAACACUAACAGUAAGUUUUGACUUUUGAUUAUACCUGCUCACUAAUUCGUUUAACAUUUCUCAAAUCUGUAUAUUUAUUGUUUACUUCUCAUUGUGUUCUAGGGUCUUGACUACUGAGCUGGGUUUUUGAGGAGCUCAAAUAUGUAGUUUGUCCCAAUUUUCAUAGCUUAUGCUGAUAUAAGGACAUUUUGAUUUCUGUGUUCAGCAGAUUGCUAGAACACCUGGUUAUAGCUUACAAUUCACGAUUAUCUGCAAAAAUAAUGUUAUUUCACAAGAUUGAUUCAAUAAUUUCUGGCUUUUGCAAAAGUAAAAUGAAUUCAGCAUGAGUUGCUGGUUCUCUUCAUCUCCAG
Molecule: unclassified non-coding RNA, 2353 nt
Filed under: Hevea brasiliensis (rubber tree)
Lineage: Eukaryota; Viridiplantae; Streptophyta; Magnoliopsida; Malpighiales; Euphorbiaceae
Source: RNAcentral